AUUGAACGCUGGCGGCAUGCUUUACACAUGCAAGUCGAACGGCAGCGCGGGCUUCGGCCUGGCGGCGAGUGGCGAACGGGUGAGUAAUGCAUCGGAACGUGCCCAGUAUUGGGGGAUAGCCCGGCGAAAGCCGGAUUAAUACCGCAUACGACCUGAGGGUGAAAGCGGGGGGCCGAAAGGCCUCGCGCUAUUGGAGUGGCCGAUGUCGGAUUAGCUAGUUGGUGGGGUAAAGGCUUACCAAGGCGACGAUCCGUAGCUGGUCUGAGAGGACGACCGGCCACACGGGGACUGGGACACGGCCCAGACUCCUACGGGAGGCAGCAGUGGGGAAUUUUGGACAAUGGGGGCAACCCUGAUCCAGCCAUGCCGCGUGCGAGAAGAAGGCCUUCGGGUUGUAAACCGCUUUUGUUCGGGAAGAAAUCCUCUGGGCUAAUACCCCGGGGGGAUGACGGUACCGGAAGAAUAAGCACCGGCUAACUACGUG
This 484-nucleotide ribosomal RNA is filed under the name uncultured bacterium. RNAcentral's name for it is "partial 16S ribosomal RNA". It matches the Rfam family "Bacterial small subunit ribosomal RNA", at positions 28 to 507 of the family's 1533-position model. The record is from RNAcentral.